CACACAUGGCGUUUGCGAUCAUGGAGGCAGUCCAUGGCCGUCGGCCCUUGCGCACCGCCGCGGUCGUCUUCGGGCGACCCGAGGUCGUCGAUUAAGCACUCAUGGAGUUGCGGCUCCACAGCCCCGCCGGUGCCGAGCCGGCGGUCUACCCCUGGCCGCUCUCCACCUCGGACAAGCAUGACGGUGCCAUCGAAAUCGUCGAGACAAUACGCUGGGUCUGUGAGGACUUUCCAGAGCUCAAGGCGGCCAUGGAAAACCACGUCCUCAAUGACUAUGAUACCAAAAGCUAUGAGAGCAUGCGGACCCUGUGUGACAAGUACAACCGGGCAAUCGACAGCUUCUUGCAACUCUGGAAGGGCACGUCACGUCCUGAGCGCCUGCAUACGCGGCCAUCGACGGCACUCCUGCGGCACAUCCUGCAGCAGGUCUACAACACGGCCAUCGUUGAUCCUGAGCGGCUCAACUCUUACGAGCCCUUCUCCCCCGAGGUGUAUGGCGAGACAUCCUUUGAGUUUGUGGCACAGAUGAUCAACGAACUGGCGUUCACACCCGACGAUGUCUUCAUCGACCUGGGCAGCGGUGUGGGCCAGGUGGUUCUGCAAGUCGCAUCCUCUACGCCUUGCAAGAUGUGCAUUGGCAUCGAGAAGGCCGAGGUGCCGUCGCGGUAUGCACAGUCGAUGGACGCGCACUUCCAGUUUUGGAUGCGCUGGUAUGGCAAGACGCACGGGGACUACCGGCUCAUCAAGGGCGACUUCCUCCACGAAGCACACCGGGAUAUGGUCAUGAAUGCCUCGAUUGUUUUUGUCAACAACUUUGCAUUUGGACCAACAGUGGACCACAUGCUGAAGGAGAAGUUUGCCGAGAUGAAGGAUGGCUCACGGAUUGUCUCCUCCAAGGCCUUCUGUCCUCUCAACUUCCGGAUCACGGACAGAAACCUGAGUGACAUUGGAACCAUCAUGCAUGUCAAGGAGAUCCAGCCCCUGAAGGGCUCAGUCUCUUGGACGGGCAAGCCAGUAUCCUACUACCUCCAUGUCAUAGACCGGACAAAGCUUGAGCAGUAUUUUCAACGCCUCAAGAAUCCUAAGCUGAGGGACGACGAUUCAUCAUGCAACUCGUCGCGGAGCCGCCGCAGCAAUGGCCACAGUGGCCACGGGACACGCUCGGCAAAUGGCAGUGUCUGCAACGGCAGUCUGAGCCACGACUCUUCGUCCAAUGACUCGAGGGUUGACGACUGCCUCGUGCUCGGACCCACAACACGCCGGGCCUGGUCCGACUGGUGCAACAAGGGGCCGAUGCCGGGCGCGAAGCAAGGCAGCAGCGUGUCUGCCCUCAGCAGCGGGCACGAGAGCAACGAUGAGAACGAGCCGGUAAAGAGACGACCCAAGGCACCUAGGCGAACACCACGGCGAAAGAAACCAAGCAGGGUGGACUCCGGGGCAUCAUCAGUGGCAUCGGUUGAGGUGCGCAAGGGACCGGGCCGACCAAAGAAAUCGCCCCAGCGUAACAACAGGCGCGUAGGGCGUAAGCCAAUGAAAUUCAGCGGCCUCGAUCUCCUGCAUGCCCAGACGGUGCUGAGCACGUCUAGUGCAGCUGCCAUGCACACAGAGCCUGCUCCUGGCUGUGUUGACCAGAAGCUCGGGGGCCUGGCUCCGGAAGAAGGAUCACUCUCGAGCGAGUUGCCAACCGGCUUCCACGAAGUGACUGUGAAGACCGAGCCACCCACAGAAACCUCCAUGGACAGCAUUGCAGCAGCUGCCAUGACCAACUCCAUGGCUGUGUCUGGCCCACCGCCACGUCCACUGACGCCGUUGGCAGAGCCGCCUGAGCUGAAGGCCAUGCUGAAUGACUUCCGGGCACAGUACAUGGCCAUGUUGAACCACAUGCGGACUGAGCAGUACCGGCAGCAGGUCAAGGAGCACAUUGCCAGGGAGAGGGAGCGCAACGAGAGGCUAGUGGCCAAGGCAGCGCACUUGGAGCGACAGAUCAAGCACCUCAUUGACGACAGCGUGGUCCUGUUGAAGGCGCGCAUGAACGAGCUGGGAGUGCAAAGCCAUACGCCCGCUGACCUUAUCAACAUGUGUCAUCUUCUGAGAGCAAGUGGCAACAGCCAUCGCAGGCUACUUCAGGCAAAAGAAAUUGUGGUGCGCCACAAGGAGUUGCAAUCGAAGGCAGCAACCCUAGAGCGAGAGGUGAUUCACUUGGAGGAGCAGCAGGCGGAACUGCUGGCAAGGCAAGUUCCCAGUGCCAGGGUCCCACCCCCACCCUCCACACCAGGGGUCGCCAACCCUCCUGCUUCAACCGGAGGAGACAGCACCACCACUGCCGCUGUCCCCACCAUCACCACCUCCGCGGCAACUGCGGCAACCACCAACGGCUUUUUUCUGCCCCCCAACCCAGAGGGCCUGAGCCAGCUGUCGCACGAGCACAUUCUGCGUGAGAUCAGCAGCACCUUGUCGCAGCGCCGCAAGCUUCACAACAAAGUCCAGAAGCUGGAAGGUGAAGUGCAGGAGCUGGAGCGCACCCUUGUCUCGCCACCUCCGCGGAGGCCGCCCACACUUGCCUCUCCUUUCACCACAAUGCAACAGCAGCAGCACCUACAACCUUCAGUGCCACUCUCUCUUGCGGGACCAGUCCCCGACAUUGUCUCCGAGCCUGGUGUGAUGCAGCAGGCCGAUAUCAAGCCAGAUGACUUGUCAAACCGAGCGGUUCGUACGGCAACACCACCACCGCCAAAACUGGGACCACAGGCCACUGCCACUUUGCCAGCUGCUGCUUGGUCAUCCUCUUCUGUUUCAGCAAAGGCACCCAUUCAGGAGCCGUCAGCACCGACAGAUUUAAGCAGUGUUGUUUCAGACCGUGGCCCUCCCGACAGUGGGCCACCUAGUGUCAUACAGAGUGCCCCUCCAAAAGAGAAAGGCACCAAGGACAAAAAUAUUGCCGCUUCUGUUCCAAAGAUCGCAGCACCACUGACAUCAACUGCUGAGGAGGCCCCGCCCGAGAGACCACGCCCCCCAGUAAUCCGAAGUGGUAUCAAGGACAUUGUUGAUGCGAGCUGCUUCUCGAUGACCUACUCGCCAGUCACACCUGGGCGGGUCCCAGGCACGCAUACCGAAACCAUGCCAGCUGCUGCACCCUCAGCCGUGGCAACGAAGACCGCGGAUGUGUUGCACACGAUCCGAGAUAAGUCUCCAACAAAGUCAAGCCACCACAAGACAGUAUUGCCUGUGCCACAGCGGACGGCCGCCCCACCAGAGUCACCGGUGCAUUGUGCCACCCAAGAGGAAUUGCCGCCGACGCCAAAGACGCCUGUUGAGGAUUCGUCUGCUAUGAGCAGUAGCAGUGGUGCCGCACACCAGUCGUCACGCAAGAGCAGCUCGCCGUCCAAGUCCAAGCACAGGAAGUCGCCCCGGAAACGGGAGCCCAGCCCUCCGCCGCCACCUCCACCGCCGCCGCCGCCACUGCCGCCGCCGGUGUCUGUGUCACCGUCUCCGCCUCAGCAGCCCAAAAAGAAAGCGGAGCUUGACGAUGCAGCUUCACCAGCGGCAGUGCCGCUGUCAAAACCGUCCAAUGGGCUCAUCUUAAACCUGGGCAGCCUUCUGGCUUCACGAAACGGCUACAGCCCAAAGCGGGAAGACAGAGCAUCGCGAAAGCUCAAACGAAAACACUCGCCGCACAAGCUGCGGGGUACAGAGGCGACGGCGGAGAGCAUCAGGCCUCCCUUGGGGCUUGGCGACAAGACUGUGUGCAUACGGAUGAAGUCAGAAACGGGAGUGGAUGUCGAAGAGAAGUUCACGAUCAAGGCCGAAGCGCUGUCCCGGAGGCCCGAGGGCUCGUCGCACGGCCGCCACCAUUGGCAGGCGCGCGUGAGCAGCGGCUUCGACAAACUGGUCGCACUUGCCUCCUCCAACCAGCAGCCCGAGUCGGUGCCGGCCACAUCACGAAAGGAGCCAGCGGCCACCACCGGUGGGGCCUCGUCGUCCUCCACAUCGUCUUCGUCCUCAUCGUCCUCGUCGGAGCACUGCGAGGCCCCCCGACAGGCAGCUCUGCAGCAGCAGCCGCACAAGAAGUGGGUGGUCGAUAGGGUUCACCGGAAGGACCGCGGAGGGGAGAGCGGCACGCAGCUCGAGAGCCUGUCCAUCAAGAUCAAGGCCGUGAACGCGGGCCCGCCCUCGCCCACGGCCCGCAAGAGGCACCGGAGUCCGCCGGCGCCUUCCCCCUGCUCCUCUUCCUCCAAGAAGGGGGGCGGGCCGACGACGGCCGGCCGUUCUCCGCUGCCCAAGAGGCGGGGCCCGCGCACCCCGCCAGACACGCCCCCUCGGACUCCAUCUGCCUCCCCCGAGCGGCCCGUUACGCCGCGCACGCCGCUGUCACCCACGCCGCCCUCGCACCGUGUCCGCCGCGACGAUGAGCCCCCGCACAGCCCCAUCAGCAGCGUGGACAGCCCGUUCAGCCGGCGCAGCCGGUCCACAAGCCCGCUCCCCGGCAGCCCUGUUGAGGAGGACGACGCCGACGAUGUUGACCGUGCCACGCCACGCAGUGGCACCUCCAGCACCGACGACCCGCCGCACCCGCCGCUUGAUAACACCGUGUAUAACAAGCUAGGGCUCGGCACCCGGGACAUUUCAGUCACCUCCGAGCAACAGCAGGCUUCCUCCGUGGGCAUUGCUCCUGACAAGGACGGUCUCUGGGACUGGGCCAAGGAGCAGCCGGCGGCCACGACAACCCUUCCGGGGGCGCCAUCUCGCUCGGACCCUGCAUCGUCGUACGCCGCCGCUGUGUCGUACGCAGCUGCCAGCCUCGACUCGUCGUCACUGCGGCCACAGGCACCCCUGAUGCUGGUCACGUCGUCCAGUUUGGCCCCACCUCCGAUGCCACCCCCGCUAACGCCGCAGAUGGCAGCGGCCCCUCCUCCCCCACCGCCUCCGCCACCACACUGCUCGCUGCCGCCACCGUUGGUGGCCAACGUGUCGGUGCCGCCGCCCUUCAACAUGCCUCCUCCCCCGCCCCCUCCACGCACAGCACCCGUGUACAACCCGUCGCAGUUGGUGUUGCCGGACACAUCAGUUCCGCCCCCAUUCCUUGGCCCCACCUCCAUGGCGCCUCCCCCGUGCAACUUCACCGUGCCCCCACCCAACAUACUGGCUGCUGCAGCGGCCGGCCAUCCGGCUUCACAGCAUACAGCGGGAACUGAGCCGCCGCCUCAGCACAGGCCCCGCCCCCACUUGGCCCCGCCCCAAUACACGGCAGGGCCUUACACGCUACCCCUGGAGUCGGCUCAGCGAGUGCCCCAUUACGCCGCGCACCCGCCAGGACUGACGCCUCACAAGAUGCCCCAUCCUGGUGAGGCUGCCUCUGCAGUCUGAGUUGAUUUGGCCUCUUUAUUAUGCUAUGCUUAUGCCAUGAAUGCAGCUUACUUGCUUCACUCAGCUUUUAUCUCAAGUACUUUUCACAUCCGGAGAGCCAAAUCUUAGGCCUUAUCACGUUAUCCAACUGUCUGAACUUCUGCCCUGAUCAUUGCAGUUCAGCUUGUGUGACUUCCAGUUGUGCAAAAUGGAAAGUGUAAACUUGACUGGUGCUGUUUGUGUGGAUGCAGUCAUCAUCUGAACAUGCAGCUGUCCACCAUCGUAGUGUGUGGACAAUGUGCUAUGGAAUAGUGCUUUUAAAUAUCCAGUGAAGUUGACUGAAGUGAAAGUGCACACACAGCACUACCUGACUUGACGUCGGCGUCACCGGGGCUCGACCCGCAAGCGGAAACGACGAGAUUCUCACCAUCGCCACCCCCACACUGCCACAGCGCCCGUCAGCGAAGCGACAAGCGCAGAGUCCCUGGGACACAGUUCGGUCGAUGCCUGAUGAUCCUACGUGACAGAAGUGUGUGCAGACGUGUUUGAAACAAUCUUGUUUUGUUCCAUUUUAAAUUUCUGCGGGCCAACGACCGACGCUGGAAAGUGAAGAGGUGAUGGAAGUCAUCGUCGUCGUUCGGUUCCUCGGGUUCCGGAUUUCUCCUCAGAAAGGCGCCGUGUCGUUUUUCUUGUUGUUUAUAUUUUAUGGGGAGGGGAGGAGCACUUUUGUUCUGUUUAGAACAGGGUGUUGCACAUUUAGGUACUGGCCGAUGAAAAGCUCUCGCAUUAAAACUACUGCAUCGCGUUCAUGACAGCCUGUUUUCAGGAAACCAUGUUUCGUGGUGCAUGCUAUUAACUUUUUUGUUCUUUAGUUAUUUAUUCAGCACGAGCUGUUGAUGCAGAGUGAGUUGGUGGUAAGCAAAUGAAAGGAGAAUGCCAUGACCGAUGGCUUACAUAAUAUGGUUUGUAAUUGGCCUCUGAACUACACAUGGUCAUAAGCAUGAAUUGGAAAUAGGCAAUGCUUUUUUUGUUGUUGUUGUCCGUGACCAUUCAGGGGUUCUACCUGAUUGUGCAGCUCCCUGGUCUUUCGUGCCUCUUGUGUCUGAUGUUAGAAUUUAUUGGAGGGUUGCCCGGCACGGUCAAAAGCAUGUUUUACACAGACUUUUUGAACAUGGCCGUGAAAUCGGUCACCAAUUUGUGGACUGCCCACCAUGCUAGGGCUCUUGCAGACCCCAUGGAGUCUCUGAGCUAUGGAGUCUGCAUAUAUGCACCGUUACUUGUGGCACCUGAUUGAAUUGUGUGGCAAACUGGUUUCCAGUGUUUUUUACAGAGCAGCAAGCGCAUUGAAGCUUCUGUGUGCUGUGAAAUUGUUGAGCUUCUGAUACUGGAAUGCUUAUACCAAGCAUAUUUGUGCUGUUUCCAUGGUGGCCUGCUUUUUGAAUCGUGUGCAAAGCUUGUCUAAAUGUUAAGGCCCUCAGUUAUCAGCCGGAAAACAACCCUCCUCUGUGCCGUUUGCUUGUUGUAUUUAUUGCAUUAUUGUUUUCCUGGAGCAUUUCCCCUCCCCUAACCAAAGCGUGCCAUGGAUAGGCACUGUAGCUCAUUAAAGACUGAUCACUGCCACCAACAUUUUUCUUUUUUUUUUUUCAUUUUUGAUGCAAAACUAGUCAGAAGAGUGAAUCGUAGUGUUCUUCCUCUAGUUUGUUCAUGUCCUUACUCUCUGUUUCCCCUUCCCAGCUUUAACUUCUGUGUUUUCCACGUAACAUGGGAGCAGGGAAAUAAAGGUCUUAGUUGUUUUUUUCUUAACUGUUUUGUACACAUUCUUUAAGGAAGCAGUUUGUGCACAGUAGUGCUCGCAAAAGCUGGAUAAUUUCAUGCAAAACGUAAUGUCCCUUUUUGUUUGCAGGGCUAACAGGCUGUGCAUGCUUCCAUGCUUAGCGUUUUUUUUUUUUUUUUUCCAGACUGACAUGCAGACUUAGUGCAGGUGCUAUGAAAGCCAAAAAAAAAUUGCAUCUUUGUAGAUGCUUUCUUGCAAUGUUGCGAAACCAAGAGACCAAAAAUAAGUGAGCCAGUGAGACCAAAGUGUGUUCAUUUGCAUGACUGCUGGUUAGUCCACACGGGACUUUGCCGUCAGCUGUUUGUUGGCUUUGUCUUUCCGGUCUUCCUUCAGUGGCAGACUAGCGGACCUUUUUGUUUAAGUUGGGGUGGCCGAAUUACUGGAAGCUGCUCUAACGCUAAGAAUGGCACCUCCAGGCAGCCUUUUCACAGAGGCAGAGGAGUUCUUACUUUACAGCUUCACGUUUCACAUUUUCGUACGGAACGUAUUUGGAAACCAUACUGCCUGUUCUUUGCUGCACAGUGGCCAAAUUGCAAGUUGCAGAAGUGCUUUUGACUUUUCACGGAAUUUCCAGGCAACUUGGGAGUUUUACUUUUUGGUCUUAACAUAACUUGGCCGUCACGUCUCACACUUAUUACUCCGUUUCAGCUGAGAUUUGGAUGAAAGUAGCAUAGAGGUGCAUGAGAUUGCUUUGAGAGCACUCAGGUUAUAGUUCAGGAGCAUUUGGGUACAGCUAGAGUUUUCGCUAAAGCAACAUUUAAGCAGAGUGUAAUGAGCUUGCCAGCUUUGAAUUGCCUACUAGUUGCCAUUCACAAGCAAUGCUUCGAAACUGCACCUUUCGGCUGAUGACGCUUGCAAGAGAGGGAGUAAACUGUCUCCCGAAUCUUGAGGCCAGUACUGCCUAGAGGAUUGAAGUGUCACGGCAAUUACUAGCGACAAGUUGCACAGCUAAAAGCAAUGCAGAUUACAUCUCUUGGUUUGAAGUCCUGUCUAUUGUUACAUGGCCAAGGUUUCGGAAAGCUUCAGCUGCUUUUAGCUGCUCAUUAAGGAGGAGCCAUUUUUUUCCUCUUUCAUGGUGUGCGAAGGCUCCAAAGAAGCGCAAUCACGGUGUCGGCACCCUUGGCCCUGCUCAAAGAAACCUGCUAAGAUCUAGGCAGCCAGUGCGUUCAAACGUUAAUCAAGACACUCCCCGUGUUUACUUUGGCAGCGUUUCCAACUGUUUCCUAUGCUACGCUGCAAAUUUGUACAUUGUGAUGCCAUACGUGUCUUGGCUGACGUCUCUCUUGUUGUGUUGUGUGCAAAGGUCUCCUCCAGCCAAUUGGCCUCUUUGACAUUGACGAGCUUGCUUCCUCGUGUAUUUAUUUGCCUUUUUCUCUCCAACCUGCUUUUCCUCCGUGCAUCAUUCCACGUCGCCUGGCCAGCAGUUAAUUUUAGAAGCAAAAAGCAAUCACUGCCAGUGUUUGCGUGUGAGAACAUUGUGCACCGUGGUUCUCCCGACACCCUUCGAUUGUGCACUCCAAGAUGCCGAUUGUGAACGAGUGACCUGAAAGACCCUCUUCAAGAAGAUCCCCUCCCUUUCUUUCCGUUACGGUUGUUUGUCUCCUUUGUGUUGCCAAGCAAAGCAAGAGACUUCCCUCUCCGCGGCAGACUAUGAUCUGGCUACAUGUUCCGAUUGCUGCUUUUUUACCAUCGUGUGCUGCAAAACAGGCUUCCUUCCCCUCAAAUCCUCUCUGCCUGCAUUUGUUGUAUGUAACCCCGCUAUGUGUACCUGUGCCGGAAUGCUUCAACUUUUUCAGGGAGUCUGCCUUUUAUACGUGGGAGAAAUAGCGCAGGUUUUGUUUUCUUUGACGCUAGUGUUUGCUCUUUCGAAAUCUAGUGCGAGAGGCAUGCUUGAAGACACUGCUUCUUGUUGGACGUGCAUGCUCUCCUGGCGUUGCAGUUGUGCAGAUUGCUUCCUUCGCUGGUCAAGGUUUAUUCUCGUAGCCGCAUUCUGUUGGGUUGACGCCUUCCUUUCUUUUGUCUGAUCUGUGCAUAUUUUUGUCGGGGACGCGAGUAGUGUCUCGUCGAGGACCCCGCAAACUCACACACCUGAGAAUAAACACUGCCACUUGAUGCAUAGCUUGUACAUUGUCUAUUCAUGCCACGAUGUUGUAAAACAUUACUUUUCUGUGCGUGUGCGUUUUAGCAUCCAUUGUUUUAGGUGAAGGAACUGUGCGAAAGUGCUGUGCUUUGUUGUGGAGGGCUCAUCCUUGUGCACUGUCAGCUGCUAGAAAAGAUGAGCUCGCAAGCUUCUCUUCUGUUGCUCCGGGUCGACUUUAGAGGAGCGUGAGCGGACGCGUGCUUGCUGCUGUGUAUGUGUGCGCAAGUCUCGGCUACAUUGGCAAUCUCUAUUUUCCUGUGGCCGUGUCUACACGCUACCCUUUUCCGAGUGUGCAUAGCUGUAGCAUGACAAGUUUUUUUUCCUUCCUUGCUCUCGUUAAAGUUUUGGUGAUGGAAGAUGGCACAGUAUUGUAUAUAGCAUUUCUAGUGCUGGCGCACGAGAAUCAAGCAGGGAUUAAGUCCCACUUUGCUUUUGGUGAGAGGAAAAUGAUAUGUUGAGAAAGAAGCUUGUAUAUGUACACAUAUUUUUUCCUUCUCUUUGAGGUAAGCCCGUAGUUUGAAGAGGGGACGUUGUGCGUUGGUAUGGCCGCCAAGUAGUUAGGUGUUGUGAUUAAGCUUGCUCGCUAGACUCGUGUUUCCGGUAGCCUCAGUGUAGGAACAGUGCGCAUAUGGUCAUGGAUGAUGUAGGAAACCUAUUUAUAAGGAAGCAAGUAGGCUUGGCCGUCACGCAACAUGUCGGGUCAUGUAUGGUUCGCGGUACGAGAAAAGGUGGUGGGAGUUUCAGCUUGAUAGCAUGCACGCUGUUCGUGUUUACGCCUUAUAUGCGACACCUGGCAUCUUGUGGGAUUCCCCCUACUGCUUCAGAGUUUUGCCAAGCCUGCAUUGUCUGAAUGGCUUUGAAUAAUUGGCUACCAUCUCUUGAUGUAGCCAUAGCUGAUGUGCGUUUCUUGAGGACUGCGUAGUUGGGGCAUCUGGUGUGCUGCCUUGGGUUCUUGUCUAGAAAGUAGAAAAAAAAGGGGGGUUGGAGGAUGGAGCCUGGCAAAAGAAAGCUUUAAUCUGGAAUUCUUAUGACUACUUUUGUACAGCAGCAGUGGCAGCUACCAAAAUAGGGAAGCAUGGUCAUCUGUUGAAAUUUUUACCUGUUAUAUACCUGUCAAGUGGUAGCUUCUGUCCUUUUUGAGUGAAGCUGUGUCAAAAUUAUUGAGCACACUGAAACAUAAUUGAUCCCCCUCAGAAUGUUGAUCCUAGUUGAUAUGCUUGAUCUCCAAGUUCAUUUAAGGUUUCUACUGUUUUGCAUCUAGUAGCCAACUGAGUCAGAGCAUGUCAACAGCAGCCUUCAAGAACACUAGAGGUUUUUAUUCUGAUUGAUGAAGCACUCAAGCAAGAUUGAAGGCACCCAUGUGAUAGGAUAUGGAAGUUUAGCGAAAGUAGCUCCUUUUGGAGUGCUGAAUGGAAUAUGUGAGUAAUAAUUUAACAUAUGCAUUGUUUCAUACUGCAUUCUUUUUCUGUUGCUUAUUGCAACACACUGACAGGAAACCAGUGCUGAAAACAUCUGUACACAGUAGUUUCUAAACCACUGCAGCACACCAUACUCCACUUUUCGAACUCCAUGCAGUACAGUAAAAGCUGUGGGUUGCGUAAACCAACAAGGAGAUUGUCUGCUGUUGAUUGCCCUCUGUGCAGUGCUAACUAAGCAGAAGCAUCAUGGCAGUAUCAGCAUUAAUGGCAGCUGGCUGUCCUGUAGGUUGAUGCAAGCCAUACACUUUACUGUACUGGAUGGAGUAUAUCAGUGUUGAGGCGAAAUGAUGCAAAUGUGUAAAAAACGUCCUCUGUCUUUCCUUAGCAAAAUCGUAGCCAAGCAGGAAUGCGGGUUCUUCCAAACUCAGAUCGGCUGUGGGAAUGACGCGAGGUGCCUGGAGUUCUGCACGCGUAUUAGAGCAGUGAUAUUUCGUGGCUGCAUGGGGUGAGAACACUGUGUGCAUUGUUGCCGACGAGCCCUUGACAGGGCAGACUAAGAUCAUCCUAGCCUGCCAGAUUGCAAGUGCACACAGUGUGGUGUGUUAUGCCUGGUGAUGUUGGAACGUUUGUUGGAGGUGAUCGCCGGAAGUGUUGUUUUAAAUGGGUGUUGUGAGCACAUCCCCUCUGAGCUGCGGCUACAAGGACUUUGUGCGUUGUGGGCAUUCUCAAGGAGCGUCGCUUAUUUAAAUACACCCGUUUUCUUUCCAUUCUUGCUCUUUCGCUCUUAUUUUUCAUGUGUACAGACACCGUUUUUGUUGGGCAUUUUUUGAAGUUGAAGCACAACCUUUUCUUUCUUUUUCUCUGUCUUCACCAAUGUGGUUUACUCGGUAUGUGUAGUGGAUCACAUUCUGUUGCUGGCACUGUAUGGAAAUGCACAACAUUCUCAAUUGCAAAGUGAGUUGGUUGUGGAGGGGGGCUCUCUUUCCUUGUGUGGUGUGUGUUACUUAGCAUGAGAAAGCUUGGCCUCAUUGUGAUGGAACUGUUUCAUUGGCUUUCUUGCGUAACCAAACAUAUAUCAUCAGUGUGACUAUGUCUCAUCGUAGCCUUAGUUCCAGACAGGUGAUGAUGGUGCCGUACACGGCGUGUAUUUUGUGGAGACCCACAAAUUUCUCUUUUUUUUCCGCAUGGAUGAGCCUAGGCGAGAACCGUUUAUAACUUUGUGAAAACCACGGAAGCUUAAAAGAAAGCAUCACAUGUUUCUUCCCCACUGCCCAAGAGUUCUUGUGCCUGCAAUACCAGGCCAACUUAAUUUUAUUUCCAUCACCCUUCAGCAGCCCACGGGGCGCGGAAGAUGUGUACCUGUGUCCAAGAUGUCCACUGCGGUGUGGCGUUGGUGUACCAUUCUUUACUGCCAAAACUGCAACUCCUUGAAUCUGGGAUUGAGUUUGUUUGACUUGAACUCUGAGACUCGGGAGGGAGCUCUUGUGCUUGAGAGCAGGGUACUUGCACAGCCAAAGUUUGUAUUGAAUUGCAGCCUUUUCACCGAUAGCAUUCAGUGGUAAAUGUCAUGCUUCAUUCAGAUGUGUACCUGAGUUUUCAAAGAGCUGCCAAGCAUCACAUCGCUGCACUGUUACCUGCUUACACCUCUUAAGCAUUAACCAUCUAUGUGUUCGUUUUCGACACAAGGCAUCAGUAUUUCUGUAUGUGCAGCAAGUGAAUUCAUAUUCAUGCUGCUUGCUCAUCAACCAUCUUAAUUUAUUCUGUUCAGUAUGACGGCCAAAGCGCGUGAUGCUAUCAACAUACAUGCCUGCUUGUAUGUGGUAGGUUUCCCUUUUUUUUCUCCAUUUGCUAUUGCUCUAAUGACGUUUUUGCCAUUAGACAGAAUGACUGGUGCACCUACAGCAGGUUGAGUUUAGUACAUGCCUCAAUAAAUUGUUCAGGACUUUGUGCGAGUUCAGUUUUUACAUUAUAUAGUGUCUAAGGCAUAAAUGUGUGCUCAGUUGGGUAGUUUAGUUAGGGCACUCUUGCAUUGGAGAAGCCAGUUUAUUAAACUAGUUCUUCAGUGCUAGCACGAUAAAAAAAAGCAAACUACAUAGCUGUAGAAUUGCUCCGUUCAAAAGAGGAAUGUUGCUCCAGAUCAUUUAAGAUUCGAGGUGAGGUAAGGUUAAUGAAUACAUUUUGUAGCGCACUGCCUCUUUUUGUGCUAUUUGUUUUGUAUUUAUUUAGCUGCUAGUUCAAAUGUCUCAUCAUGCCAUACCGCAGUGGACAUAGUGCCACCCGAGGUGCUGCGGUACACUAUUGCUCCCACAGCGUGGGUAACAACUGUGUUCGAGUUUUUUCUUUUUGGUGCACAUACAAGGACACUGCUGUGUCAACGCAUUCUAUCAAGCUGACGCAGAUCAAUUGUGCAGAAUUUGGAAAAUGGCGAUAAUUGACUUUCUUGCAAGUGUGGAACAGAUUUAACGCAAGGAUAAUAGUGUGACGGGUUUACCUUUCUUUUCCUUUUUUCCUAUUGUAUUUUUAGACAGAACACUGAAACUGUUGCAUGUUAACCAGUUUGUUGUUGAUGCUGUGUUUUUCAUUUUAGAGAUAUUUAUAAGCCUGUACAGGAAGCACACACUCUACGACUACUGCCGACAGAAAUCAUUUGUACCAUACCUCAAAAGUGUCUAUUGUAACAAAUGGGAAAAAGAGAAAUCCACACUUCCAACUGUAGCAUUUGGAAUUAAAAACACCCCUCUUUUUAGCAAAA
This 13486-nucleotide unclassified non-coding RNA is filed under the name Dermacentor andersoni. Its description in RNAcentral is "histone-lysine N-methyltransferase, H3 lysine-79 specific-like". Lineage: Eukaryota; Metazoa; Arthropoda; Arachnida; Ixodida; Ixodidae. The record is from RNAcentral.